This 694-nucleotide ribosomal RNA is filed under the name uncultured bacterium. Its description in RNAcentral is "partial 16S ribosomal RNA". It matches the Rfam family "Bacterial small subunit ribosomal RNA", at positions 1 to 677 of the family's 1533-position model. The record is from RNAcentral.
GGCCGCGGGAAUUCGAUUAGAGUUUGAUCCUGGCUCAGAUUGAACGCUGGCGGCAUGCCUAACACAUGCAAGUCGAACGGCAGCGCGGGAGCUUGCUCCUGGCGGCGAGUGGCGGACGGGUGAGGAAUGCAUCGGAAUCUGCCCCGACGUGGGGGAUAACGUAGGGAAACUUACGCUAAUACCGCAUACGUCCUAACGGGGAAAGCGGGGGAUCUUCGGACCUCGCGCGGCGGGAUGAGCCGAUGCCGGAUUAGCUAGUUGGCGGGGUAAAAGCCCACCAAGGCGACGAUCCGUAGCUGGUCUGAGAGGAUGAUCAGCCACACCGGGACUGAGACACGGCUCGGACUCCUACGGGAGGCAGCAGUGGGGAAUAUUUGACAAUGGGGGCAACCCUGAUCCAGCAAUGCCGCGUGUGUGAAGAAGGCCUUCGGGUUGUAAAGCACUUUUAUCAGGAAAGAAAUCCAGUUGAUUAAUACCCGGCUGGGAUGACGGUACCUGAGGAAUAAGCACCGGCUAACUUCGUGCCAGCAGCCGCGGUAAUACGAAGGGUGCAAGCGUUAAUCGGAAUUACUGGGCGUAAAGGGUGCGCAGGCGGCCUGUUAAGUCAGAUGUGAAAGCCCUGGGCUCAACCUGGGAACUGCAUUUGAUACUGGCAGGCUGGAGUGCGGUAGAGGGUGGUGGAAUUCCCGGUGUA